CUGAAACCGUGUACGUACAAGCAGUGGGAGCACGCUUAGGCGUGUGACUGCGUACCUUUUGUAUAAUGGGUCAGCGACUUAUAUUCUGUAGCAAGGUUAACCGAAUAGGGGAGCCGAAGGGAAACCGAGUCUUAACUGGGCGUUAAGUUGCAGGGUAUAGACCCGAAACCCGGUGAUCUAGCCAUGGGCAGGUUGAAGGUUGGGUAACACUAACUGGAGGACCGAACCGACUAAUGUUGAAAAAUUAGCGGAUGACUUGUGGCUGGGGGUGAAAGGCCAAUCAAACCGGGAGAUAGCUGGUUCUCCCCGAAAGCUAUUUAGGUAGCGCCUCGUGAAUUCAUCUCCGGGGGUAGAGCACUGUUUCGGCAAGGGGGUCAUCCCGACUUACCAACCCGAUGCAAACUGCGAAUACCGGAGAAUGUUAUCACGGGAGACACACGGCGGGUGCUAACGUCCGUCGUGAAGAGGGAAACAACCCAGACCGCCAGCUAAGGUCCCAAAGUCAUGGUUAAGUGGGAAACGAUGUGGGAAGGCCCAGACAGCCAGGAUGUUGGCUUAGAAGCAGCCAUCAUUUAAAGAAAGCGUAAUAGCUCACUGGUCGAGUCGGCCUGCGCGGAAGAUGUAACGGGGCUAAACCAUGCACCGAAGCUGCGGCAGCGACGCUUAUGCGUUGUUGGGUAGGGGAGCGUUCUGUAAGCCUGCGAAGGUGUGCUGUGAGGCAUGCUGGAGGUAUCAGAAGUGCGAAUGCUGACAUAAGUAACGAUAAAGCGGGUGAAAAGCCCGCUCGCCGGAAGACCAAGGGUUCCUGUCCAACGUUAAUCGGGGCAGGGUGAGUCGACCCCUAAGGCGAGGCCGAAAGGCGUAGUCGAUGGGAAACAGGUUAAUAUUCCUGUACUUGGUGUUACUGCGAAGGGGGGACGGAGAAGGCUAUGUUGGCCGGGCGACGGUUGUCCCGGUUUAAGCGUGUAGGCUGGUUUUCCAGGCAAAUCCGGAAAAUCAAGGCUGAGGCGUGAUGACGAGGCACUACGGUGCUGAAGCAACAAAUGCCAUGCUUCCAGGAAAAGCCUCUAAGCAUCAGGUAACAUCAAAUCGUACCCCAAACCGACACAGGUGGUCAGGUAGAGAAUACCAAGGCGCUUGAGAGAACUCGGGUGAAGGAACUAGGCAAAAUGGUGCCGUAACUUCGGGAGAAGGCACGCUGAUAUGUAGGUGAAGCGACUUGCUCGUGGAGCUGAAAUCAGUCGAAGAUACCAGCUGGCUGCAACUGUUUAUUAAAAACACAGCACUGUGCAAACACGAAAGUGGACGUAUACGGUGUGACGCCUGCCCGGUGCCGGAAGGUUAAUUGAUGGGGUCAGCGCAAGCGAAGCUCUUGAUCGAAGCCCCGGUAAACGGCGGCCGUAACUAUAACGGUCCUAAGGUAGCGAAAUUCCUUGUCGGGUAAGUUCCGACCUGCACGAAUGGCGUAAUGAUGGCCAGGCUGUCUCCACCCGAGACUCAGUGAAAUUGAACUCGCUGUGAAGAUGCAGUGUACCCGCGGCAAGACGGAAAGACCCCGUGAACCUUUACUAUAGCUUGACACUGAACAUUGAGCCUUGAUGUGUAGGAUAGGUGGGAGGCUUUGAAGUGUGGACGCCAGUCUGCAUGGAGCCGACCUUGAAAUACCACCCUUUAAUGUUUGAUGUUCUAACGUUGACCCGUAAUCCGGGUUGCGGACAGUGUCUGGUGGGUAGUUUGACUGGGGCGGUCUCCUCCUAAAGAGUAACGGAGGAGCACGAAGGUUGGCUAAUCCUGGUCGGACAUCAGGAGGUUAGUGCAAUGGCAUAAGCCAGCUUGACUGCGAGCGUGACGGCGCGAGCAGGUGCGAAAGCAGGUCAUAGUGAUCCGGUGGUUCUGAAUGGAAGGGCCAUCGCUCAACGGAUAAAAGGUACUCCGGGGAUAACAGGCUGAUACCGCCCAAGAGUUCAUAUCGACGGCGGUGUUUGGCACCUCGAUGUCGGCUCAUCACAUCCUGGGGCUGAAGUAGGUCCCAAGGGUAUGGCUGUUCGCCAUUUAAAGUGGUACGCGAGCUGGGUUUAGAACGUCGUGAGACAGUUCGGUCCCUAUCUGCCGUGGGCGCUGGAGAACUGAGGGGGGCUGCUCCUA
This 2145-nucleotide ribosomal RNA is filed under the name Escherichia coli. Its description in RNAcentral is "partial 23S ribosomal RNA". It matches the Rfam family "Bacterial large subunit ribosomal RNA", at positions 550 to 2680 of the family's 2925-position model. Lineage: Bacteria; Pseudomonadati; Pseudomonadota; Gammaproteobacteria; Enterobacterales; Enterobacteriaceae. The record is from RNAcentral.